AUGGCAAACCCUCCUAAGGAGAAAAUAUGUGGGUUCAAAGGCGAUAUCUCAAGUAUACUGAAAGCCUGGGCACUCUCACUUUUGGGCGGGUCUAAUGGAAAUGAAGAAAUAUAUAUCUUUCUCUAUGAUUCCUUCUCAAUUAAGGAUGGUUCGGAAAUUAGAUUCCGGGAGGAUAAGCGGCUAGGUAAUCCUACACUUUGAGAACAAUAUCUAGCUGUAUACAGUAUUGUGCGUCACAAGGGUGAUACUAUUGCCAAGGUUUUGAAAUCAUUUCCGUCAAAUGUGACGUUCAGAAGAGAUUUAAUUGGACCUAGACUCCAAUCGUGGAACAUAUUGCUCCAGUGGUUAACCAUGGUACAGUUGUCACAAGGGUCCGAUGUAUUUCGUUGGAACCUACAUGGUGUCCAUGUAUAG
Molecule: ribosomal RNA, 414 nt
Filed under: Triticum aestivum (bread wheat)
Lineage: Eukaryota; Viridiplantae; Streptophyta; Magnoliopsida; Poales; Poaceae
Description: partial small subunit ribosomal RNA
Source: RNAcentral